AAAUAAGAAGUAAAAUUUACUUUUAGUUUCGACCUAAAAUUUUGAUGAUUUUUCAUCCUUAUUUA
Molecule: transfer RNA, 65 nt
Filed under: Phalacridae sp. BMNH 840198
Lineage: Eukaryota; Metazoa; Arthropoda; Insecta; Coleoptera; Phalacridae
Description: tRNA-Arg
Source: RNAcentral